Molecule: transfer RNA, 67 nt
Filed under: Ictidomys tridecemlineatus (thirteen-lined ground squirrel)
Lineage: Eukaryota; Metazoa; Chordata; Mammalia; Rodentia; Sciuridae
Description: Spermophilus tridecemlineatus (thirteen-lined ground squirrel) tRNA
Rfam family: tRNA
About the family: Transfer RNA (tRNA) molecules are approximately 80 nucleotides in length. Their secondary structure includes four short double-helical elements and three loops (D, anti-codon, and T loops).
Source: Rfam by way of RNAcentral
GGUUGUAAUUCAGUGGUAGAGUGCUUGCCUCACAUGCAUGAGGCCCUGGGUUCAGUCCCCAGAACCA